Nasonia vitripennis (jewel wasp) is the source of this 697-nucleotide long non-coding RNA. RefSeq lists it as uncharacterized. The record is from RefSeq and is a predicted model, not a curated record. NCBI's taxonomy places the organism in Eukaryota, Metazoa, Arthropoda, Insecta, Hymenoptera, Pteromalidae. The transcript is spliced from 3 exons.
ACGUCAGUCCGGCUCGAUUCGUCGUUGUUUUUGUUUUUCGGCGCCUAAUCCCCCUUCCGACGUACCUAUCCUUUCAUAAAUUACUUAUCGUAAAAAAUGCCUAAACAAGAAUCCGGCGACGGCUCGGAGGCCAGCGGUAAAUCGACGACUCCGAAGGUCAAAAAAGAAGACGGUAAGAAAAACUCUACCGCAGCGGUGCAACCGCAACGUAAGAUAUUGCCGAGGAGUAACCUAACGCGCUGUAAACGUUCCACCAUGGACCUGGAGACAGUCUACAUGGCAUCGUACUGCUGUCCGAGACGACCGAAAAGCGGACCCUCACACCAACACUAAAUUGUUCAAGUACAAGCGUCAGCCUGCAUGAAGAUCGGCAUGUUCUCGGCGUUGGCCGAAGAGCCGAGCACGCAGACGACCUCACCGUAGUCCUGCAUUAUGUGCAGCAUCUCCCGGGUCACCGCUGUGUUACAGUCGGUGAACAGCGAGACCAGCAGUGAUCAAAGUUGACCGGCGCACUCUGUUCGGUGCUGUCGGUGAGGCAACUAAGCGAACGCCAGGCCUCCUGGCCCGAGCCCAGGUCGAUGCUCUGCACCAGCACGCUGUCCUCGCUCCUCACCGUCUCCUGCUCCCUGUGAUGUAACCAUAAAAAUUUACGUUAAUAUUCGUUCUUAAUAAACAGUCUCUCGCGUAUACAAGCAUA